CUAAUAACUGCCAGCUGUGACGUUACUCGCAGAAGAAAGCACCGGCUAACUCCGUGCCAGCAGCCCGCGGUAAAUACGGAGGGUGCAAGCGUUAAUCGGAAUUACUGGGCGUAAAGCGCACGCAGGCGGUUGGAUAAGUUAGAUGUGAAAGCCCCGGGCUCAACCUGGGAAUUGCAUUUAAAACUGUCCAGCUAGAGUCUUGUAGAGGGGGGUAGAAUUCCAGGUGUAGCGGUGAAAUGCGUAGAGAUCUGGAGGAAUACCGGUGGCGAAGGCGGCCCCCUGGACAAAGACUGACGCUCAGGUGCGAAAGCGUGGGGAGCAAACAGGAUUAGAUACCCUGGUAGUCCACGCCGUAAACGAUGUCGAUUUGGAGGCUGUGUCCUUGAGACGUGGCUUCCGGAGCUAACGCGUUAAAUCGACCGCCUGGGGAGUACGGCCGCAAGGUUAAAACUCAAAUGAAUUGACGGGGGCCCGCACAAGCGGUGGAGCAUGUGGUUUUAWUUCGAUGCAACGCGAAGAACCCUUACCUGGGCCUUGACAUGUCUGGGAAUCCUGGCAGAGAUGCGGGGAGUGCCCUUCGGGAAAUCAGAAACACAAGGUGCUGCAUGGGCUGUCGUCAGCUUCGUGUCGUGAAGAAUG
RNAcentral lists this ribosomal RNA (639 nucleotides) under Aeromonas veronii. Its description in RNAcentral is "bacterial SSU rRNA". Lineage: Bacteria; Pseudomonadati; Pseudomonadota; Gammaproteobacteria; Aeromonadales; Aeromonadaceae. The record is from RNAcentral.